CCUACGGGAGGCAGCAGUAGGGAAUAUUGCUCAAUGGGGGAAACCCUGAAGCAGCAACGCCGCGUGGAGGAUGAAGGUUUUCGGAUUGUAAACCCCUUUUGUUAGAGAAGAUAAUGACGGUAUCUAACGAAUAAGCACCGGCUAACUACGUGCCAGCAGCCGCGGUAAUACGGAGGGUGCAAGCGUUACUCGGAAUCACUGGGCGUAAAGAGCGCGUAGGCGGGUUAGCAAGUCAGAUGUGAAAUCCUAAGGCUUAACCAUAGAACUGCAUUUGAAACUGUUAUUCUAGAGUAUGGGAGAGGUAGGUGGAAUUCGUGGUGUAGCGGUAAAAUGCGUAGAGAUCAAGAGGAAUACUCAUUGCGAAGGCGGCCUGCUAGAACAUAACUGACGCUGAGGCGCGAAAGCGUGGGGAGCAAACAGGAUUAGAUACCCGAGUAGUC
This 440-nucleotide ribosomal RNA is filed under the name uncultured bacterium. RNAcentral describes it as "partial 16S ribosomal RNA". It matches the Rfam family "Bacterial small subunit ribosomal RNA", at positions 338 to 795 of the family's 1533-position model. The record is from RNAcentral.